UGGGGAAUUUUGGACAAUGGGCGAAAGCCUGAUCCAGCAAUGCCGCGUGUGUGAAGAAGGCCUUCGGGUUGUAAAGCACUUUUGUCCGGAAAGAAAUCCUUGGCUCUAAUACAGUCGGGGGAUGACGGUACCGGAAGAAUAAGCACCGGCUAACUACGUGCCAGCAGCCGCGGUAAUACGUAGGGUGCAAGCGUUAAUCGGAAUUACUGGGCGUAAAGCGUGCGCAGGCGGUUUGCUAAGACCGAUGUGAAAUCCCCGGGCUCAACCUGGGAACUGCAUUGGUGACUGGCAGGCUAGAGUAUGGCAGAGGGGGGUAGAAUUCCACGUGUGANCAGUGAAAUGCGUAGAGAUGUGGAGGAAUACCGAUGGCGAAGGCAGCCCCCUGGGCCAAAUACUGACGCUCAUGCACGGAAGCGUGGGGAGCAAAACAGGAUUAGAUAACCCUGGUAGUCCAGCGCCCUAAACGAUGUCAACUAGUUGUUGGGGAUUCAUUUCCUUAGUAACGUAGCUAACGCGUGAAGUUGACCGCCUGGGGAGUACGGUCGCAAAGAUUAAAACUCAAAUGAAUUGACGGGGUCAUAGCUGUUUCC
Molecule: ribosomal RNA, 590 nt
Filed under: uncultured bacterium
Lineage: Bacteria
Description: partial 16S ribosomal RNA
Rfam family: Bacterial small subunit ribosomal RNA
Source: RNAcentral